Molecule: ribosomal RNA, 279 nt
Filed under: uncultured bacterium
Lineage: Bacteria
Description: partial 16S ribosomal RNA
Rfam family: Bacterial small subunit ribosomal RNA
Source: RNAcentral
UGCCAGCCGCCGCGGUAAUACGGAGGGUGCAAGCGUUGUUCGGAAUUACUGGGCGUAAAGCGCGCGUAGGCGGACUAUUAAGUCAGGGGUGAAAUCCCGGGGCUCAACCCCGGAACUGCCCUUGAUACUGGUAGUCUUGAGUAUGGGAGAGGAAAGUGGAAUUCCGAGUGUAGGAGUGAAAUCCGUAGAUAUUCGGAGGAACACCAGUGGCGAAGGCGGCUUUCUGGACCAAUACUGACGCUGAGAUGCGAAAGCGUGGGGAGCGAACAGGAUUAGAUA